This 1818-nucleotide ribosomal RNA is filed under the name Triticum aestivum (bread wheat). RNAcentral's name for it is "partial small subunit ribosomal RNA". Lineage: Eukaryota; Viridiplantae; Streptophyta; Magnoliopsida; Poales; Poaceae. The record is from RNAcentral.
AUGGGGGCCAUGGCGGAGGAGGCGGAGCACGAGGGCUGCGUGGAGAACCGGCAGCCCCUCGCGGCGUCGAGCGAGUCGGUGUCCGAGGGCAGCAGCUAUGGCGGCGCCGGUGCGCCCGCGCGGAUGUCGCCGCCCGUGUCCGGCUCGGUGAAUUCCGUCUCCGGUCUCAGGCGAACAAGUGGGCCUAUAAGGAGAGCGAAGGGUGGCUGGACAUCACAAGAGGAUGAAACAUUGCGGAAGGCAGUUGAGACUUUCAAUGGUAGAAGCUGGAAGAAAAUAGCUGAAUUCUUUCCGGAUAGGACAGAGGUACAAUGUUUACAUCGAUGGCAGAAGGUUCUUAACCCUGAACUCAUCAAAGGUCCUUGGACUCAAGAGGAAGAUGAUAAAAUUAUUGAUCUUGUAAAGAAGUAUGGACCAACAAAAUGGUCCGUCAUUGCAAGGUCACUACCUGGACGUAUAGGCAAGCAAUGUCGAGAGAGGUGGCAUAAUCAUCUGAAUCCAGACAUACGGAAAGAUGCUUGGACUGCUGAGGAGGAACAGGCACUGAUUAAUGCCCAUCGGGAAUAUGGGAAUAAAUGGGCAGAAAUAGCAAAAGUUCUUCCUGGAAGGACUGAUAAUUCUAUAAAGAAUCAUUGGAAUAGUUCUUUGAGAAAGAAGUUAGAUGUCUAUGGCACCAGAAAUAUUUUGGCAAUUCCAAGACUAGUUGGUCAUGAUGACUUCAAGGAUAAACAGAAGUCGUUGGCUUCUGAGGGCCAUCUUGAUCUGAACACAGUGCCCGGCAUCACUUCAAAAAACCUGCCUGAAAUAGCUCAUCAUUCUAAUUUUAGCUCACAUCUACAGUCAUACAAACUGGAUCAUGCCAAGGACCGCUCAGGGUUCCUAUCCAUUUCUUUUUUACCAACUGUGCAGCCACUAACUUCUUAUGAAGUGUCAUCGGUGGUUAAUGGCUCUGCUGUUACUUCAGCGGCACAAGGUCUGGAAAGUGAUUCUGUUCGUGACAAGGGUUUGGAAAUUAUUUCUGUUCAUGAGAAGGGACUCAAGGUUGAUUCCACACUUGAUACCCUGGGGGAACCUGAUAGCACUCAGCUAGAUGCUGUACCAGCUAAAGGUGAAGAAUCAUCUUUGAAGAAUGAUGCACAGUCUAGCCUUGGUCCUCUUUGUUACCAGAUUCCUAACAUGAAUGAUGUAGCCCCUGCCAGUUCCUCACUCAUUUCUGAACAUCAAACCGUGCACCAGACAUCUGAGCAUUGCAGGAAUGGAGCACUAUCCCCCAAUGGUUGCACGACGCCAACGAAGGGAACAAUGUCAGUCCAGUUAAGUGUUGAUUCAAUAUUGAAGAUUGCUGCUGACAGCUUCCCAGUCACCCCUUCAAUAUUAAGAAGAAGAAAACGAGAAAGACCGACACCUGCUAGUGAUUUGAAGUUUAGUGAACCAAACACUGAUAGCUUUUACACCCCUGCUGGGAAGCACCCUGCUACAGACACCCCAGAGUCAUUUAGAACUGCAUCCUUUCUGUCACUGGGUUCUCUUGAUGGGCUAUCGAGUUCUGCAAGGGGCUUUGAUGUUUCACCUCCAUACCGGAUAAGGGCAAAGAGAAUGUGUCUCACAAAAUCUGUUGAGAAACAACUAGAUUUUUCAUCAAAUGGAUUGGGCACUUGUGGUUCUGAGGUCCUGAACUCACCUCAGCAGAAUUCUCAAAGCACACAUAGUUUGGGUGAAGCCUCAAUAAUGAAGGAAAAGGAACUUAACGGGCAUGUUACCCAGCUGGAAACUUCAACCAAGAACAUAACGUAUACGACAAACAUGGAUGUAACCUAA